GUUAACUUUUCCCCAGGCCCUAUUGGUUCUCCUGGCAUUUUGUGCUCCUCCCCUGCUUGGAAUUUGUAUGGAACUGCAGAGCUGAGGAAGCCAGCUGCUGGGCUGGUGGUCUCCCUCCAAGAACAAAAGACUGAUGCCCAGGCAAAAAUAGAGGUGGCCAUUUCCGAGCGCUUGACCAGUGCUAAUGCCCUGUGGGCCCUGCAAAGAAUGGGAUUGCAAUGUUUGUUCCCAAAGUCCUUCAAAAAAUAUUCUCCAUCUUUUGAAAGGGCUGCUCCGCUGACCAGUGUAGCCAUUGGAGCAUCGACUAGAGGAACCUUAAAAGCUCCAUGACAUCCUGUUGUGCACUGUAAAAGUGCUUGACACAGGCAGAUGGAUUCUUAUUGGAGCCUGGUGAUUUCCACUCUUCUAUUAAAAAAAUGGACAUGGUAUGUGAAGAUCAUGCCAGACUCUUGGGCAGUUGGAAAAUCUCCUUCUCUUCCUGCAUUUGGUCUCCAAAGGCCUGAUCAGUGGAAGAAUCAAGCUUCAGGACCCUGCGUGCCUUGCACAGAAGCAACAUAAAGUCCUCCUAAUUAAAGACUCUAUGAGACAUGA
Molecule: long non-coding RNA, 591 nt
Organism: Hemicordylus capensis (graceful crag lizard)
Lineage: Eukaryota; Metazoa; Chordata; Lepidosauria; Squamata; Cordylidae
Exons: 2
Source: RefSeq, a predicted model, not a curated record